Molecule: long non-coding RNA, 227 nt
Filed under: Nicotiana benthamiana
Lineage: Eukaryota; Viridiplantae; Streptophyta; Magnoliopsida; Solanales; Solanaceae
Description: long non-coding RNA (NBEN_LNC000804)
Source: RNAcentral
GCCUGAUCUGUCAAGGCAUUUUCAAGCUUGUCUUUUUCUUUUGCCUCACGUAAGGCUAAUAGUUCCGCUUCUUUUCUUAGUGCAGCCUCUCUUUCAGCACAGUCCUUCACAUAGUCAGCUUCUCUUUUUGCAGCUUUGUACUCCUCAUUCUCUUUUCGUACCAAAUCUUUUGCUUCUUCCUCCUUUAAACUAAUUUCCCGGAGUUUAAUUUCUUCCUCCAACCGGCG